RNAcentral lists this ribosomal RNA (650 nucleotides) under uncultured bacterium. RNAcentral's name for it is "bacterial SSU rRNA". It matches the Rfam family "Bacterial small subunit ribosomal RNA", at positions 42 to 675 of the family's 1533-position model. The record is from RNAcentral.
UCAGGCCUAACACAUGCAAGUCGAGCGGACAGAAGGGAGCUUGCUCCCGGAUGUUAGCGGCGGACGGGUGAGUAACACGUGGGUAACCUGCCUGUAAGACUGGGAUAACUCCGGGAAACCGGAGCUAAUACCGGAUAGUUCCUUGAACCGCAUGGUUCAAGGAUGAAAGACGGUUUCGGCUGUCACUUACAGAUGGACCCGCGGCGCAUUAGCUAGUUGGUGGGGUAAUGGCUCACCAAGGCGACGAUGCGUAGCCGACCUGAGAGGGUGAUCGGCCACACUGGGACUGAGACACGGCCCAGACUCCUACGGGAGGCAGCAGUAGGGAAUCUUCCGCAAUGGACGAAAGUCUGACGGAGCAACGCCGCGUGAGUGAUGAAGGUUUUCGGAUCGUAAAGCUCUGUUGUUAGGGAAGAACAAGUGCGAGAGUAACUGCUCGCACCUUGACGGUACCUAACCAGAAAGCCACGGCUAACUACGUGCCAGCAGCCGCGGUAAUACGUAGGUGGCGAGCGUUGUCCGGAAUUAUUGGGCGUAAAGGGCUCGCAGGCGGCUUCUUAAGUCUGAUGUGAAAGCCCCCGGCUCAACCGGGGAGGGUCAUUGGAAACUGGGAAACUUGAGUGCAGAAGAGGAGAGUGGAAUUCCACGUG